This 808-nucleotide ribosomal RNA is filed under the name Salmonella enterica subsp. enterica. RNAcentral's name for it is "bacterial LSU rRNA". It matches the Rfam family "Bacterial large subunit ribosomal RNA", at positions 504 to 1211 of the family's 2925-position model. The record is from RNAcentral. Lineage: Bacteria; Pseudomonadati; Pseudomonadota; Gammaproteobacteria; Enterobacterales; Enterobacteriaceae.
UGAGGGAAAGGCGAAAAGAACCCCGGCGAGGGGAGUGAAAAAGAACCUGAAACCGUGUACGUACAAGCAGUGGGAGCCCCACCACCAAAGCAUUCUCUGGUGUUGAAGGCCCUGCAAAGCAGCAUCGCGGUGGCGGAGCGUCGUUUGCGACGCCCAACACACAAAACAAGCGGUGAGUGCUUUGGGGUGGGGUGACUGCGUACCUUUUGUAUAAUGGGUCAGCGACUUAUAUUCUGUAGCAAGGUUAACCGUAUAGGGGAGCCGUAGGGAAACCGAGUCUUAACCGGGCGUUAAGUUGCAGGGUAUAGACCCGAAACCCGGUGAUCUAGCCAUGGGCAGGUUGAAGGUUGGGUAACACUAACUGGAGGACCGAACCGACUAAUGUUGAAAAAUUAGCGGAUGACCUGUGGCUGGGGGUGAAAGGCCAAUCAAACCGGGAGAUAGCUGGUUCUCCCCGAAAGCUAUUUAGGUAGCGCCUCGUGAAUUCAUCUCCGGGGGUAGAGCACUGUUUCGGCUAGGGGGCCAUCCCGGCUUACCAACCCGAUGCAAACUGCGAAUACCGGAGAAUGUUAUCACGGGAGACACACGGCGGGUGCUAACGUCCGUCGUGAAGAGGGAAACAACCCAGACCGCCAGCUAAGGUCCCAAAGUCAUGGUUAAGUGGGAAACGAUGUGGGAAGGCCCAGACAGCCAGGAUGUUGGCUUAGAAGCAGCCAUCAUUUAAAGAAAGCGUAAUAGCUCACUGGUCGAGUCGGCCUGCGCGGAAGAUGUAACGGGGCUAAACCAUGCACCGAAGCUGCGGCAGCGA